UAGUGGCGAACGGGUGAGUAACACGUGGGCAAUCUGCCCUUCACUCUGGGACAAGCCCUGGAAACGGGGUCUAAUACCGGAUAUCACUCUCGCAGGCAUCUGUGAGGGUCGAAAGCUCCGGCGGUGAAGGAUGAGCCCGCGGCCUAUCAGCUUGUUGGUGAGGUAAUGGCUCACCAAGGCGACGACGGGUAGCCGGCCUGAGAGGGCGACCGGCCACACUGGGACUGAGACACGGCCCAGACUCCUACGGGAGGCAGCAGUGGGGAAUAUUGCACAAUGGGCGAAAGCCUGAUGCAGCGACGCCGCGUGAGGGAUGACGGCCUUCGGGUUGUAAACCUCUUUCAGCAGGGAAGAAGCGAAAGUGACGGUACCUGCAGAAGAAGCGCCGGCUAACUACGUGCCAGCAGCCGCGGUAAUACGUAGGGCGCAAGCGUUGUCCGGAAUUAUUGGGCGUAAAGAGCUCGUAGGCGGCUUGUCACGUCGGGUGUGAAAGCCCGGGGCUUAACCCCGGGUCUGCAUUCGAUACGGGCUAGCUAGAGUGUGGUAGGGGAGAUCGGAAUUCCU
Molecule: ribosomal RNA, 564 nt
Filed under: Streptomyces griseoruber
Lineage: Bacteria; Bacillati; Actinomycetota; Actinomycetes; Kitasatosporales; Streptomycetaceae
Description: bacterial SSU rRNA
Rfam family: Bacterial small subunit ribosomal RNA
Source: RNAcentral